This 610-nucleotide ribosomal RNA is filed under the name uncultured bacterium. Its description in RNAcentral is "bacterial SSU rRNA". It matches the Rfam family "Bacterial small subunit ribosomal RNA", at positions 367 to 965 of the family's 1533-position model. The record is from RNAcentral.
CGCAACGGCACGAAAGUCUGACGGAGCGACGCUGCGUGAAGGAUGACGGCCUGCGGGUUGUAAACUUCUUUUCUCGAAGAAGAAGCUCUGACGGUAUUCGAGGAAUAAGCAUCGGCUAACUCCGUGCCAGCAGCCGCGGUAAGACGGAGGAUGCAAGUGUUAUUCGGAAUGAUUGGGCGUAAAGCGUCUGUAGGCUGUAUAGAAAGUCUUUUGUUAAAUACCUCGGCUCAACCGAGAUCCAGCAAAGGAAACUUCUAUACUUGAGGUAAGUAGAGGUACAGGGAAUUCCCGGUGGAGCGGUGAAAUGCGUAGACAUCGGGAGGAACACCAAUAUGGCGAAGGCACUGUACUGGGCUUUACCUGACGCUCAGAGACGAAAGCUAAAGGAGUGAUUAGGAUUAGAUACCCUAGUAAUUUUAGCCGUAAACGAUGGAAACUCACUGCCGAGCGAAAUACAACGAGCGGUGGUCAAGCUAACGCGUGAAGUUUUCCGCCUGGGGACUACGCUAGCAAGAGUGAAACUCAAAGGAAUUGACGGACCCCAACGGGAUAUUGGUUAAUUCGAUCACCCAAACUCCAGGUUGAAUAUUAAAUCUGAAAGACUCUCGAA